CAAUUAGGUUCUUCAGCUAAUUAUUGGAUCUUAUAAAUGAUUCUUCAAAAAACAGCUACAAUGAUUAGGUUGUGCCUUUAUACGGAGCUCUGAGAAAGGAUUUCCAUGCAGCAAGAGGAGAAUCGCCAUGUGGAUUGCAAUUUCUUCUCUUCGGUGAGGGGAAGGGUCUGCAGCUCAUCUGUAUCAGUUCAACUUUACCACCAAGCCAGCUGGACAUAGGACACUUGUUCAUCUGUCCACAAGCAUAUCAGGAACUGGGGGCUCAUUUCUGGCAGCAGGUCAGAGGUAACAGGGUUCUCCUGCUGCGUGAGAAACUGUGUGGAUGAAUACAAGUGACACUAAGGGCAGGCAUCGUUCUCAUAAUGCGUGUCUUACAAGUGUUGGAGGUAGUCACUAUAACAACAGCGCCUCAAAUUUGUGUCCACUUGAACUGCUCCGUCUCUGUAAUCGCCGAGCAAGAAUGAGCAGCCAAAGAAGUGCCGAGUUUAUGCAAGCAAAACUGACCCAGCUGAUGCCAAGAGGAGCUGGAGAGCAGCAGCCCGUGCCCCACGCCUGCUCCGCGGAGCCCCGCGGGGAUGGGGCUGCGGUGCCCGGCUCCUGUCUGACUCGUUCUGCUCCCCUCCUGCUCCCUGCCUGCACAGCCGCAAGUAAGACAGAACUAGAAAUAAACAAGCACCCAUCACAGAUGCUCACCAGCCUCAUAUUUCCAUCAGCAUGCUGCAGAAAGCAAAAGCAGUUAAUAGAAACCUGGGUGUAAUUAUUUACCGAGUGGUUUGCAGCACAUCCGUGCCCACUGUGUUUGUAAACUGGCCAACAUUUUGACUCACGUAGGGGAAACAUGCGAAAUGCUGGAUAUCUGUCACACAAAAACUCCAGUGUAAAUAAAUAAAGCUACGUAGGACGUCUCCCA
Molecule: long non-coding RNA, 910 nt
Organism: Anser brachyrhynchus (Pink-footed goose)
Lineage: Eukaryota; Metazoa; Chordata; Aves; Anseriformes; Anatidae
Source: Ensembl